GUCUUGAUAGCUUAAACUUCAAAGCACCGGCCUUGUAAACCGGAGAUGGUGAUGUUCCCCUCUAGACA
This 68-nucleotide transfer RNA is filed under the name Acanthodactylus aureus. Its description in RNAcentral is "tRNA-Thr". It matches the Rfam family "tRNA". Rfam says of the family: Transfer RNA (tRNA) molecules are approximately 80 nucleotides in length. Their secondary structure includes four short double-helical elements and three loops (D, anti-codon, and T loops). Further hydrogen bonds mediate the characteristic L-shaped molecular structure. tRNAs have two regions of fundamental functional importance: the anti-codon, which is responsible for specific mRNA codon recognition, and the 3' end, to which the tRNAs corresponding amino acid is attached (by aminoacyl-tRNA synthetases). tRNAs cope with the degeneracy of the genetic code in two manners: having more than one tRNA (with a specific anti-codon) for a particular amino acid; and 'wobble' base-pairing, i.e. permitting non-standard base-pairing at the 3rd anti-codon position. The record is from RNAcentral. Lineage: Eukaryota; Metazoa; Chordata; Lepidosauria; Squamata; Lacertidae.